This 169-nucleotide ribosomal RNA is filed under the name uncultured Clostridium sp. RNAcentral describes it as "partial 16S ribosomal RNA". The record is from RNAcentral. Lineage: Bacteria; Bacillati; Bacillota; Clostridia; Eubacteriales; Clostridiaceae. RNAcentral also lists the same sequence under 1 other name.
UCUUACGGGAGGCAGCAGUGGGGAAUCCUACGGAAUGCAGCAGUGGGUAAUCCAGCACAAUGGGCGAAACCAUGAAGCCGCAACGCCGGGUGAGCGAUGAAUCCCUAGGAUGUAAAUCCGAUCAGCCGCGAAGAUAAUGACGGUACUGCAGAAGAAGCACAGCUACACG